This 200-nucleotide unclassified non-coding RNA is filed under the name Hevea brasiliensis (rubber tree). Lineage: Eukaryota; Viridiplantae; Streptophyta; Magnoliopsida; Malpighiales; Euphorbiaceae. The record is from RNAcentral.
GUGCUAUAGGCCUUCCUGAACUGUGCUUUGGACAACCAUUUGAAUUCGUUGUCUCGGUGGGAUUCAAUGAAACUCUUGAACUUGUCUUCCCACGAUUGUAACUUUAUGAUUUUCAUGCUGUUCAGGAUCUCAGACGUAGCCCUGAGUCGUUCAUCCUGAGCAAUCAUAAAUUCAUAUUGACAUUUUUGUAGAAAUCUUGC